RNAcentral lists this transfer RNA (72 nucleotides) under Ovis aries (sheep). It matches the Rfam family "tRNA". From Rfam's summary of the family: Transfer RNA (tRNA) molecules are approximately 80 nucleotides in length. Their secondary structure includes four short double-helical elements and three loops (D, anti-codon, and T loops). Further hydrogen bonds mediate the characteristic L-shaped molecular structure. tRNAs have two regions of fundamental functional importance: the anti-codon, which is responsible for specific mRNA codon recognition, and the 3' end, to which the tRNAs corresponding amino acid is attached (by aminoacyl-tRNA synthetases). tRNAs cope with the degeneracy of the genetic code in two manners: having more than one tRNA (with a specific anti-codon) for a particular amino acid; and 'wobble' base-pairing, i.e. permitting non-standard base-pairing at the 3rd anti-codon position. Lineage: Eukaryota; Metazoa; Chordata; Mammalia; Artiodactyla; Bovidae. The record is from Rfam by way of RNAcentral.
UCCCUGGUUGUCUAGUAGCUAAGACUCUGAGUUCCUGAUUCGGAGGCCUGGGUUCAAUACCUGGUCAAGGAA